This 891-nucleotide ribosomal RNA is filed under the name Akanthomyces muscarius. Its description in RNAcentral is "partial large subunit ribosomal RNA". It matches the Rfam family "Eukaryotic large subunit ribosomal RNA", at positions 38 to 961 of the family's 3401-position model. The record is from RNAcentral. Lineage: Eukaryota; Fungi; Ascomycota; Sordariomycetes; Hypocreales; Cordycipitaceae.
GCAUAUCAAUAAGCGGAGGAAAAGAAACCAACAGGGAUUGCCCCAGUAACGGCGAGUGAAGCGGCAACAGCUCAAAUUUGAAAUCUGGCCCUUGGGUCCGAGUUGUAAUUUGUAGAGGAUGCUUUUGGCGAGGUGCCUUCCGAGUUCCCUGGAACGGGACGCCAUAGAGGGUGAGAGCCCCGUCUGGUCGGACACCGAGCCUCUGUAAAGCUCCUUCGACGAGUCGAGUAGUUUGGGAAUGCUGCUCAAAAUGGGAGGUAUAUGUCUUCUAAAGCUAAAUAUUGGCCAGAGACCGAUAGCGCACAAGUAGAGUGAUCGAAAGAUGAAAAGCACUUUGAAAAGAGGGUUAAAAAGUACGUGAAAUUGUUGAAAGGGAAGCGCCUAUGACCAGACUUGGGCCCGGUGAAUCAUCCAGCGUUCUCGCUGGUGCACUUUGCCGGGCACAGGCCAGCAUCAGUUUGGCGCGGGGGAAAAAGGCUUUGGGAAUGUGGCUCCCUCGGGAGUGUUAUAGCCCAUUGUGUAAUACCCUGCGCCGGACUGAGGUACGCGCAUUGCAAGGAUGCUGGCGUAAUGGUCAUCAGCGACCCGUCUUGAAACACGGACCAAGGAGUCGUCUUCGUAUGCGAGUGUUCGGGUGUCAAACCCCUACGCGUAAUGAAAGUGAACGCAGGUGAGAGCUUCGGCGCAUCAUCGACCGAUCCUGAUGUUCUCGGAUGGAUUUGAGUAAGAGCAUACGGGGCCGGACCCGAAAGAAGGUGAACUAUGCCUGUAUAGGGUGAAGCCAGAGGAAACUCUGGUGGAGGCUCGCAGCGGUUCUGACGUGCGAAUCGAUCGUCAAAUAUGGGCAUGGGGGCGAAAGACUAAUCGAACCUUCUAGUAGCUGGUUCCGCA